CCAAUAGCGUAUAUUAAAGUUGUUGCAGUUAAAAAGCUCGUAGUUGAAUUUCGGGACCAAUUUGUUGGUCGUGCCUCGGUACGUACUGGUAUUAUUGGUUUCUACCUUCUGAAGAACCUUGAUGUCAUUAAUUUGGUGUCUUGGGGAAUCAGGACUGUUACUUUGAAAAAAUUAGAGUGUUUAAAGCAAGCAUACGCUUG
This 200-nucleotide ribosomal RNA is filed under the name uncultured Glomus. Its description in RNAcentral is "partial small subunit ribosomal RNA". It matches the Rfam family "Eukaryotic small subunit ribosomal RNA", at positions 591 to 797 of the family's 1831-position model. Lineage: Eukaryota; Fungi; Glomeromycota; Glomeromycetes; Glomerales; Glomeraceae. The record is from RNAcentral.